AAUUGGAGGGCAAGUCUGGUGCCAGCAGCCGCGGUAAUUCCAGCUCCAAUAGCGUAUAUUAAAGUUGUUGCAGUUAAAAAGCUCGUAGUUGAAUUUCGGGAUUGACACAUCGGUCGUGCCCUAAGGGGUAUGAACUGGUGUAGUCAAUUUCUCACCUUCUGGAGAACCGCGAUGCCCUUAAUUGGGUGUCACGGGGAACCAGGACCUUUACUUUGAAAAGAUUAGAGUGUUUAAAGCAGGCAUUUUGCUUGAAUACAUUAGCAUGGAAUAAUAAAAUAGGACGGCAUGAUUCUAUUUUGUUGGUUUCUAGGAUCACCGUAAUGAUUAAUAGGGAUAGUUGGGGGCAUUAGUAUUCAAUUGUCAGAGGUGAAAUCCUUGGAUUUAUUGAAGACUAGCUACUGCGAAAGCAUUUGCCAAGGAUGUUUUCAUUAAUCAAGAACGAAAGUUAGGGGAUCGAAGACGAUCAGAUACCGUCGUAGUCUUAACCAUAAACUAUGCCGACUAGGAAUCAGACGAUGUUAAUUUUUUAAUGACUCGUUUGGCACCUUACGGGAAACCAAAGUGU
RNAcentral lists this ribosomal RNA (565 nucleotides) under uncultured Glomus. RNAcentral describes it as "SSU rRNA". It matches the Rfam family "Eukaryotic small subunit ribosomal RNA", at positions 546 to 1106 of the family's 1831-position model. The record is from RNAcentral. Lineage: Eukaryota; Fungi; Glomeromycota; Glomeromycetes; Glomerales; Glomeraceae.